AUCACCUGAGGACCUUGUUAAAAUGCAAACUGUAAUUCAGUAAUGCUGGGCUAUGAUCUGAAAUUCUGCCUUUUUAACAAGCUCCCAGGUGAUGCUGA
This 98-nucleotide microRNA precursor is filed under the name Camelus bactrianus (Bactrian camel). RNAcentral describes it as "mir-544 microRNA precursor family". It matches the Rfam family "mir-544 microRNA precursor family". RNAcentral also lists the same sequence under 2 other names. Lineage: Eukaryota; Metazoa; Chordata; Mammalia; Artiodactyla; Camelidae. The record is from Rfam by way of RNAcentral.